RNAcentral lists this ribosomal RNA (509 nucleotides) under Acrodictys liputii. RNAcentral describes it as "eukaryotic LSU rRNA". It matches the Rfam family "Eukaryotic large subunit ribosomal RNA", at positions 121 to 655 of the family's 3401-position model. Lineage: Eukaryota; Fungi; Ascomycota; Sordariomycetes. The record is from RNAcentral.
UCUGGCUCUCGGGCCCGAGUUGUAAUUUGUAGAGGAUGCUUUUGGUGCGGUGCCUUCUGAGUUCCCUGGAACGGGACGCCAUAGAGGGUGAGAGCCCCGUAGAGUUGGACGCCAAACCUUUGUAAAGCUCCUUCGACGAGUCGAGUAGUUUGGGAAUGCUGCUCAAAAUGGGAGGUAAAUUUCUUCUAAAGCUAAAUACCGGCUGGAGACCGAUAGCGCACAAGUAGAGUGAUCGAAAGAUGAAAAGCACUUUGAAAAGAGGGUUAAACAGCACGUGAAAUUGUUGAAAGGGAAGCGCUUGUGACCAGACUUGUGCCUUGCCAAUCAUCCGGCGUUCUCGCCGGUGCACUUGGCUUGGCCCAGGCCAGCAUCAGUUUCCUCAGGGGGAGAAAAGCGCCGGGAACGUAGCUCCCUCGGGAGUGUUAUAGCCCGGCACACAAUACCUCUGGGGGGACUGAGGACCGCGCAUUGCAAGGAUGCUGGCGUAAUGGUCAUCAGCGACCCGUCUU